Molecule: ribosomal RNA, 374 nt
Filed under: uncultured bacterium
Lineage: Bacteria
Description: bacterial SSU rRNA
Rfam family: Bacterial small subunit ribosomal RNA
Source: RNAcentral
GACGAACGCUGGCGGCGUGCUUAAUACAUGCAAGUCAACGAUUUUUAAGAUAGCAAUAUUUUAAAAAUAGUGGCGCACGGGUGAGUAACACGUAGAUAAUCUGCCUUUAGGUCUGACAUAACUCGUCGAAAGACGGGCUAAUAUCAGAUAAAACAAUAACUUGGCAUCAAGUAAUUGUCAAAAGCUUCGGCGCCCAAAAGAUGAGUCUGCGGACCAUUUAGGUAGUUGGUGGACUUAACAGCCCACCAAGCCAACGAUGGAUAGCUGGUCUGAGAGGAUGAUCAGCCACACUGGAACUGAGACACGGUCCAGACUCCUACGGGAGGCAGCAGUAAGGAAUAUUGCUCAAUGGGAGAAAUCCUGAAGCAGCAACG